UCAAGCUGACCCAUCUCCUUCUACGGAGACGAUGCCAUAGUCCCUAAGAGAGGACGACAAGGCCACAGAAUCCAGCCUUUCUGCCUGAGGCCUAACCACACGAGGGCCCCACCCUUGUGAUGCCACAGGGAGAAUUUCGUGAGGUGCCCUCAGACCACCUGGUUGAACACAACAGGGCUUUCAGACACGCAGGUCUUGCCAGACCCCUCACCUCUGGGGUCAGAUUCUGGAGGUGGGCCUGGAAGCCUCCAGUUUUUCACUUUUGAUGCCAUCUUUAUUGAGCUUUAAUUUCCAUACCACACAUUCACCCAUCUUAAGUAUAAAGGUCAGUGGUAUGUGUGUGUUCACAGGGCUGUACAACCACCAUCACGUCCAUUUUACAGCAUUUGCAUCAUCUCCCCAGACCCCACCCUUUAGAGGUCAUCCCUCAUUCCCGGAGCCCCAGCACCAACCGGCCACUCUCUGUCUCUGCGGAUGUGCCUGUGUGGACAGCUCAUGUAAGUGGAAUCAACUCAUUGUCCUUGUGUGUCUGGCUUCUCUCACUGAGCACCAUGUUUUCGAGGUUCAUCCACACUGUAGCCUGUGUUGUUGCUUCACUGCUUUUCAUGGCUGAGUGACAUUCACCCUCUCUGCUUUUAACUCUAUAAUUUAUUGUGAAUUUCUGCCUGCACUGCACAGGGCUGAUCAGAAAUUCAUCUUCCGUCCUUCUUGGGGUGUAAACUGCACUUUUAACCAACAUCCAGGGGUCCUGUGCAGAGGCUGAAAGCCCAGCGCCACACAGGGCACAGUCCCCCUGUGUGACCAGAGCCCAGGAGGAAAGCUGCAGCCGUGGACGGGCAGAUGAGGUGCAGCAGGGCAACUCCGUCCUCACAGGACUUGAUCCAUGUGGUCUGGGGGCGACAGACAGCGGUUUGAUGAGGACCAGCCACACAUGGAGUGAACAGAAGCAGCUCUGGCCGCUUCAGGAAAGCACACCCCCUGGGAAGAAUCACUGAGUGCUUGCUCCAGGCACAACCCCAGCCCUGGACAGCAUGACAUUUGACAACCCGUGACUUUCCUGGGGUCUUUCCUUUCAUGUAGAGAAAAGCUGAGAAGAACUGCUUGUAUUAAAAAAGUGACACCUUUGUGUUCACCCCUCUCACCAGUACUGCGGACACCUUGUCCUCGUGGGCUCCACUCAGGGCAGUGGUUCUCCUGUUGCUGGAGGAUGGACGAGGCACAUGUGCAGAACUGUUCUGGUUCCACACACAGCUGAUGUCCUGCUGCCUGGUGAAGCCACCUGCCCUAUCUCCUGUCCUUGCCCUGGGCUGGGAAAGGCAGGCAGUCUUGUGUUACGGGCAUGUGCCUGCUGUGGACUAAAUUGUGUCCUCAAAAUUCACAAGUUGUGUCCUCAACCCCAGGACCUCAGGAUGGGACUGUGUUUGGAGAUGAGGUCUUUAAAGAGGUGAUUAAAAUAAAAUGAGGACUUCCUAGGUGGCACAGUGGUUAAGAAUCCACCUGCCAAUGCAGGGGACAUGGGUUUGAGUCCCACUCUGGGAAGAUUCCACAUGCCACGGAGCAACUAAGCCCGUGAGCCACAGCUAUUGAGCCCGUGUGCUGCAACUAGUGAAGCCCACGUGCCUAGAGCCCAUGCUCUGCAGCAAGAGAAGCCAUUGCAAUGAGGAGUCCUCGCACCACAAUGAAGACUAGCCUCAACUCUCAGCAACUAGAGAAAGCCCGUGUGUAGCAACGAAGACCCAAUGCAGCCAAUAAUAAAUAAAAUAAUUAAACAAAAAAGUAAAAUGAAGCCACUAGGGUGGGCUGGUGCCGUUAUAGGAGGAGGAGAUUAGGACACAGACACACAGAGGGACGACCAUAUGAGGACACAUGGAGAAGACGGCUGUCCACACACCAAGGAGAGAGGCCUCAGGAGGAACCAGCCCUGCUUGACACCUUGCUCUGGAACUUCCAGCUUCCAAGACUGUGAGAAAUAAACGUCUGUUGUUUAAGCAGCCCUGUGUGUUGUAUUUGCUAUGGUAGCCAAGUUAAGACAACUUGCAUUAUGGGGACUUAAAGAUUUAAUGUCCUGGGAGGAGGGGGCUGCACCAGGGUCCCUCUGCAUGUGAGCUGCUCUGCAUGCAGGAGCUCCAGGGAGGCCAGUUGCA
Molecule: long non-coding RNA, 2144 nt
Organism: Hippopotamus amphibius kiboko
Lineage: Eukaryota; Metazoa; Chordata; Mammalia; Artiodactyla; Hippopotamidae
Exons: 3
Source: RefSeq, a predicted model, not a curated record